CAGUUAGGAGCUUAAACAUUAGAUCUCUUUGUUCGGGACUAGCUUGUUGUCGUUGGCAAGACAAAUAUAUAAUCGUCAGGUGGGCAUGCAUGUUGGUCAUCAUAUACUACAUAUACUACGAAUCUAGAGAUGGACGACGACUGACUAAGGUGGAUUAGUUAGCUCCCCGAGACCCGGCCUGAUGCAUGCAUGAGUAAAAGGUCCUGGUCCAAGAAUACCAACAGAGAAAAAAAUAAUUAAACAAAAACCAGAGCAGCUAGACGG
Molecule: long non-coding RNA, 264 nt
Filed under: Sorghum bicolor (sorghum)
Lineage: Eukaryota; Viridiplantae; Streptophyta; Magnoliopsida; Poales; Poaceae
Description: long non-coding RNA (SBIC_LNC018238)
Source: RNAcentral